CCUACGGGGAGCAGCAGUGGGGAAUAUUGGGCAAUGGGCGCAAGCCUGACCCAGCAACGCCGCGUGAAGGAAGAAGGCUUUCGGGUUGUAAACUUCUUUUGUCAGGGAAGAGUAGAAGACGGUACCUGACGAAUAAGCCACGGCUAACUACGUGCCAGCAGCCGCGGUAAUACGUAGGUGGCAAGCGUUGUCCGGAUUUACUGGGUGUAAAGGGCGUGCAGCCGGGUUGACAAGUCAGAUGUGAAAUCCUGCGGCUUAACCGCAGAACUGCAUUUGAAACUGUUGAUCUUGAGUACUGGAGAGGCAGACGGAAUUCCUAGUGUAGCGGUGAAAUGCGUAGAUAUUAGGAGGAACACCAGUGGCGAAGGCGGUCUGCUGGACAGCAACUGACGGUGAGGCGCGAAAGCGUGGGGAGCAAACAGGAUUAGAUACCCCAGUAGUC
Molecule: ribosomal RNA, 442 nt
Filed under: uncultured bacterium
Lineage: Bacteria
Description: partial 16S ribosomal RNA
Rfam family: Bacterial small subunit ribosomal RNA
Source: RNAcentral